UACGGGGGGAGCAAGCGUUGUUCGGAUUUACUGGGCGUAAAGGGCGCGUAGGCGGUCUGUUGCGUCCGCUGUGAAAACUCGGGGCUUAACCCCGAGCCUGCAGUGGAUACGGGCAGACUAGAGGUAGGUAGGGGAGAAUGGAAUUCCCGGUGUAGCGGUGAAAUGCGCAGAUAUCGGGAGGAACACCGGUGGCGAAGGCGGUUCUCUGGGCCUUACCUGACGCUGAGGAGCGAAAGCGUGGGGAGCGAACAGG
Molecule: ribosomal RNA, 253 nt
Filed under: uncultured bacterium
Lineage: Bacteria
Description: partial 16S ribosomal RNA
Rfam family: Bacterial small subunit ribosomal RNA
Source: RNAcentral